GUGAAUCAUCAAAUUUUUGAACGCAAAUUGCACUCUCCUCGGAGAGUAUGCCUGUUUGAGGGUCAGCCUAUAAAAAAUCGACAUCGUUUCUGUUUCGCGGUGUCGUUCGUCGGACAUUGGGUCAUCUUAACUCCUUUUGGUUUUAAGCGACUUAAAAUUUUCUUUUUGGUUCCAUGAACGUUUCUAAGAUUUAUUUCUUUACACGUUUAAGGUAUCGAUUUUUAUUAGUCGUGACUAUCAUAUCGGAUCUCACUCAUCAUCUUUCA
This 266-nucleotide unclassified non-coding RNA is filed under the name Glomus sp. Its description in RNAcentral is "partial contains 5.8S ribosomal RNA and internal transcribed spacer 2". The stretch from base 1 to 65 matches the Rfam family "5.8S ribosomal RNA", at positions 84 to 154 of the family's 154-position model. Lineage: Eukaryota; Fungi; Glomeromycota; Glomeromycetes; Glomerales; Glomeraceae. The record is from RNAcentral.